UUCCAAAGUUGAAGCUUGCAAUACGCUGUGGUUUCCUUCGUACAUCUACUCGAGGAAGAGUCAUCAUGACGGAAAGCUGAAAUAAUUAGGUGAGCGAGCGAUUGGUAAGUGUCGUGCGAGAGUUCUUUGUAAAAGUAGUCAGCAUCCUCCUGCAACACUCUUUAGGUCCUCCAAUUGUCACCCAACGUGUAAGUUGUCCUUCAUCGUUUCAUGGAGAUAUCUUGGCUAUGGCUCAUUGCAAUAAAAAUGCGAGUAAAUAUGCAUGAUGAAGUUGGAGCUGCUUCAUUAGCAGACAACGAACAUAGCAUACUAAGAUUCGUUGAAUCUCAUUCUCUGAUGUUCACGAGGUGAUCCAUAUCCUCCCAACCUCAAUCCCUUUCUGAUUGAAUCUUAAAUUAUUUUUGUAUUCAAUUGCAGAUUGUUGGAUGCAGGGGCACAUCCAUCAUUGAAGUUUGAUAUCCAACUACAGGACAAGGAUUAGAAAUUAUUUUCAACAUCUUCAGAUAUGAAGUGGCCAUGGUUAAAUUCGUGGCUACGAAGAACCACAAACAACACGCACACAGUCGAAAGCCACCAGAGAACAAGUUCUCUUGAAAGUCUUCUAAGGUUGAAUGAAAAUUGCUAUCUUAGCCUUCAAAUUACUAAUUGGAAUCCAUGACAUGGCAUGAGAAUCCCAAGUAGAGCUCCGAUGUUUGACUGCAGAGCCGAUGACGAUCUCUAAGUCAGUGGGAGAUAAGAAGGCCACCAAUCGAGCUACGGGACAACCGGCAGUGGUCCUUUAGUUGAUGUGACACUAUCGACCAUAGUAUCUACGUGUAAUCAUUUGAACACUCCAGAAAGGCGAUCUCCAAACUCAUCCCCGCAGUGCAGGCGGAAUUGCCUGAGGGGGAGGAGGUAUCUGGGGAAUGUUCGACAAAGUAGUGCAAGCCUUGCGUGAGCUACUUAUUCCUCCAACAUAUGAUUUCAGCGACAAGUGAGUUCUGCAAUCAGCACUUCAUACCCUUCAUCAUCUCCCUCGAUCGCCCAACUGGUCCAACAGAUCCCCGAUUUGGCGUUCAAAAGCACUACCCCUGUACCUGAGGCGCGACUGACAUCCACAACAUGGACCGUCAUCCUCUAAAUUAAGAACGCAGAUUGAACAGCAUGUGCCACGCUUUUCCAGCAACCUAGACAGACAUGUCUACCGCAUCCGAACACCAGAUCCAGCUCAUGGGUCACGAGCCAACCCCAUCCACAGUCUGCAGCACAGAAACAAAUCCUCGAGCUAAACGAACGCGAGCAUUUUCGCAAAAAGUCUCUCAAUAGUCUCAGAUGCAACCAGCAACCCUCCCGGAUGCAUCUAGUUCAGUCUUUCUCACUGCUUCAAAGCUGGACCCAAUUCUCCACGCACCAGUUCUGUUUCACCAAUCAGUUGCAACCUCUCACGAUCACGCGUCACGCUCAAUCAGAGCGAGACAACGCAAACGAAGGUGGAACUGAAGCCCCCGAAAGUCCCAGAUCCGGUUCUUAAAAACACAACAUAAGGUGGCGUGGCUCGAAUGGGUGAGUGUAGCCGGGAUUUUCAGGCAAUCUGUAGUCAUAGCGUGAACUAGGCUCUGGUCUCCUGGGGGAUGGCCACCAUGAUGGAGAC
RNAcentral lists this long non-coding RNA (1630 nucleotides) under Physcomitrium patens. RNAcentral describes it as "long non-coding RNA (PPAT_LNC011238)". The record is from RNAcentral. Lineage: Eukaryota; Viridiplantae; Streptophyta; Bryopsida; Funariales; Funariaceae.